Molecule: long non-coding RNA, 642 nt
Organism: Salvia miltiorrhiza (redroot sage)
Lineage: Eukaryota; Viridiplantae; Streptophyta; Magnoliopsida; Lamiales; Lamiaceae
Exons: 2
Source: RefSeq, a predicted model, not a curated record
AGGAGUUCAGUAAAAGCUUAUUCAUCAAUCAUCAACUGAGAUAAUAAGAUCUGUAGUUAAGGAUACCAACAAAUCACUUGCGACUAAAAGUCACGGAGAAAUCUCCAAAUUUCCAUGUCUUUUCGCAUAUAAGUGUGUUUUCCGGCAUCCCAUUCGAUAUGUGAUGUCUAAAAAUCAAACUUCUAAGCCUAAACCAACAAAGAGCAAAAGAGCAAAUCUAACAAGAUUGCCUAUCUGAUGUUUAGAUGCCUAAACUAACCAUGAUGCUUACGACUUCAAUCCAUCAAAAAUAGAAGAUUGCCAGGCGAGUACUCUCAAAAGUUCCAAAAACAUCAGCUAACAGAUCUUGCAACUAAAAGUUCCUACAACCAUCUUUGUUCAGGUAAUGCUACUUAACUUAGUGAUAAGGCCAGAUGCACUAAUUUAAUGAACUGAGGUUGCAGAAAGAUCAAGGUCAUAAUCCUUGAAGGCUCUACAAUAACAAAUGAGUAAGAAUGCUUGCAACAAGCCUGAAAAGAUUAGUAUGUUGGGUUCUUCUCCAGCUAAUAUGGAUGUGUUAAGAACAAUUUGCCUCUUAAUAUCUAUAAACGAAAUGUACACUGCGAACAUCAAAUGAAACCAGUCGAGAAACUAAAUUAGUCU